Molecule: ribosomal RNA, 490 nt
Filed under: uncultured bacterium
Lineage: Bacteria
Description: partial 16S ribosomal RNA
Rfam family: Bacterial small subunit ribosomal RNA
Source: RNAcentral
CUUUCCCUCUUUCUUCAGGCCUAACACAUGCAAGUCGAACGGUAACAGGAAGACGCUUGCUUCUUUGCUGACGAGUGGCGGACGGGUGAGUAAUGUCUGGGAAACUGCCUGAUGGAGGGGGAUAACUACUGGAAACGGUAGCUAAUACCGCAUAACGUCGCAAGACCAAAGAGGGGGACCUUCGGGCCUCUUGCCAUCGGAUGUGCCCAGAUGGGAUUAGCUAGUAGGUGGGGUAACGGCUCACCUAGGCGACGAUCCCUAGCUGGUCUGAGAGGAUGACCAGCCACACUGGAACUGAGACACGGUCCAGACUCCUACGGGAGGCAGCAGUGGGGAAUAUUGCACAAUGGGCGCAAGCCUGAUGCAGCCAUGCCGCGUGUAUGAAGAAGGCCUUCGGGUUGUAAAGUACUUUCAGCGGGGAGGAAGGGAGUAAAGUUAAUACCUUUGCUCAUUGACGUUACCCGCAGAAGAAGCACCGGCUAACUCCGUG